UUUUCUUAGUUCCUGUCAAGACUCCUGUCGAGACAUUUUGGAAAUUACACAUCAGUAAUUGUUAUCUGGGCUGCAAGUCAGGACUGCUUCCCUGGGACGAGACGGACGAUACAUUUCCCUUUUCCUUCACUUGAUCUUGUAUGACAAUAUUGGUUUACGAAAGCAAUAAUAGACUGGUAUAAGUGAUGGUGAGGAUGAACGCAAAGGAUUUUUGCGAUUGUGGUUCCUUGUGUAAGGGUACUUUGUUUGUGCGUUUGUGUGUGCGUGCGUGAGUGUGUGUGUGUGUGUGUGUGUGUGUGUGGUGGUGUGUGUGGGUGUGGUGUGGUGUGUGUGUGUGUGUGUGUGUGUGUGUGUGUGUGUGUGUGUGUGUGUGUGUGUGUGUGUGUGUGUGUGUGUGUGUGUGUGUGUGUGUGUGUGUUGGUGUGGUGUGUGUGUGUGUGUGUGUGUGUGUGUGUGUGUGUGUGUGUGUGUGUGCGCGCGCCAGAGAGCUCCGUAGCACAAAGCCACUGCAAACUGCUGGAGACUCUGAUGCGACACAGUGCAGUGACUGUUGAGCGAGCCAGGACAAGAACCACGUUGAUACUGUGAAACUUCACAAAAAAAGCUUCCAUAAACACAUUUGUAUUUUCAAAAAUCUUUUGGCUGUAAGACUGUUAUUAUACAAAUUUCUGUCAGCAUGCGAGUGAAACAUUUGUACACAUUUUAUUCUAGGGUUUGUCAUGUCAACAAAGCAGACACUUUGCUCAUACAUAGAUUGUCACUUCACGGCACAGACGUGCAUUCAGGUCAAUUACAGUAAAUAUGGGAGCAGCUGCAGUUGAUGCUGUCUGUAUAUCUGACUGUAACAUUGUGUAGGUGUGUGAUUGCAUCAUGAAACAUGGACUCAUGUCUUGGAUUAUGCUGCACUGGUGCAGUGAGCAAAAUCUGUUUACUAUGUAUGUCUUGGCAUGGAUGAGAGAGCAAGUCAUGUGAGGGAUGAUCUCAUAAGUGGAUGGUUGAAGUAAGUGUAGCAUGAAAAAGUUAUUUUGCCUCCAGUAAGAAUGGAGAGAAAAUCUAAGGAUGGGUAAAAGGAAGACUGAAAGGAGCAUACUCGUAGAAAAAAGAAAAAUCUAUGGUGGUUCUGGAAGUGACUCAGGAAAAUGUACUUGACAUACUAACGAAAAUGGACCAAUAUUUAUUUGGAAAAAUUAAUUUAAUGUAUUUUUUAAUAUUGGACAACUUUGUGUACAGAAUUCUUUGCUCUUCAGUGCAAUCUGAUCAUAUCUCCUACAAUUACAAUAGUAUUAAAAACAUGCAAAUACAGACACCAGUUGUGAACCUUGUCAACAGGGGAACAUGUGCCCACUGCUCUGUGGGGAGCACUAAAUAAAGUGUGUGUAUUUAUUUGACUUCCUUGUGGCUGAGGAACGUAAGAGGUGAGGUCUGUCUCCCUCGUACAAGUUCUCCACCCUCUGCAUCUACGUACUUUCAUCUUUUCAGGACAUUCAGAACGAGCAUCGGCCAGGGUUUUUUCACCGUACAUGUACCUACGACAGGUAGAGGAAGAGCGGAACCGUGAAGGUGAACAGAGUGUGCUGUUGAAUCCGGCACUGGAUGCCCAAAGAGUCUUCAAGUGAGAGAUCCAAAAUUGUGUAUUCAAAACUAAAAAAAAUGAAUAAAAAAAUGUUUUAAAGUAA
Etheostoma spectabile (orangethroat darter) is the source of this 1676-nucleotide long non-coding RNA. RefSeq lists it as uncharacterized. The transcript is spliced from 3 exons. NCBI's taxonomy places the organism in Eukaryota, Metazoa, Chordata, Actinopteri, Perciformes, Percidae. The record is from RefSeq and is a predicted model, not a curated record.